UUGGCGCCGACAUCAAAUUGAAAGAAGAGAGAGCAAGAAAAAAUAGAGAUACACAGAUUUAGCUGUCUCUAUUUUUUCUUCUCUACUCUUCUCUCAAUUACGAUGGCGAAACAGCUCUGUAUUAUGCCUCUCAGGCAGAAAAUGGUGAUGAACACAGAAGCCUGCUUUUGUUUGCUUCUACUAAAAGGCAGUCAAGUGUGGAUAACAGUAUUCAAUGCUUUCUUGAUCAAUCGGCAAAAUUUUUGCCCAUGAGAUUGAUGGAAGGCGGGCGAAAGUUUUUGUCGAACCUUUUGGCGGUGCUGGAUCAGGGAGAAAUUGAGAAGGAUUUUUGAUUCACAGAUUCCAGAGGAGCUGCGGAAACAGAGUGGGUGUGUGUAUGAGGCCUCUGUAUUAUGAAGAAAUUGGAAUCCGAUGAACACAAAAGCCUGCUUUUGUUUGCUUCUGCUGUUGGAAUCGGUUCUGCAGAAAAAUGUUUAAGCUCCAAUUCUAAUAUCAAGAAAUUUCUUUAGAGCACAAGUGGUGAAAUAAUGCAAGCACCAAGGAAGGAGAAUUUGCUUAGGGUUGCAGCAUCGUUAGGCAACGCAGAUAUGACGAGGGAGCAAGCAUGGAUCUCAUUCCAAGUGAGAAAUGGAUAGCCGGUCUCUCACCAGAGAGAAAAAAAAUGUCGAAGAUGUUCGCAAGAUGCCUCCUGCAUUCAAGGAUAGUAGUCUUUGUUGACGAUCUUGAUCGUGGCCAAGAAAAUGUG
This is a long non-coding RNA of Cryptomeria japonica (Japanese cedar), 745 nucleotides long. RefSeq lists it as uncharacterized. The record is from RefSeq and is a predicted model, not a curated record. The transcript is spliced from 3 exons. Lineage: Eukaryota; Viridiplantae; Streptophyta; Pinopsida; Cupressales; Cupressaceae.